AGUAUAGUGUCCUUUGCGAAAUGUCGACUGCUUCGAUAAACGGGUGGUGCCUCACCUCUAUCUCUCCUUCUCAGUCUUCUCUAAGGAGAGCUACAUUACGUCCUUGUGUUUUUGCUAGGCUGACCUCUUCUCCUGUUUCUGGUAAUACCCCUACCCUUAUCAGAAACGAGCCCGUUUUUGCUGCUCCUGCACCCAUUAUCAAUCCUAAUUGGAGAAAAGAAAUGGGAAAGGACUCUUAUGAGGAGGCAAUUGAAGCCCUAAAGAAACUCCUCAGUGAGAAAGGAGAGUUGAAAGCCACGGCGGCCGCCAGAGUAGAGCAGAUAACAGCUGAGUUACAGACAGCUUCAUCUGACAGCAAACCCUUCGACGCAGUUGAGAGGAUGAAAGAAGGCUUCAUUUACUUCAAGAAAGAAAAAUAUGACAAAAAUCCAGGAUUGUACACUGAGCUUUCCAAAGGCCAAAGCCCCAAAUUUAUGGUGUUUGCAUGCUCAGACUCCAGGGUUUGCCCAUCACACGUUCUCGAUUUUCAGCCAGGAGAGGCUUUUGUGGUCCGUAAUGUUGCAAAUAUGGUCCCGCCAUUUGAUCAGCUUAAGCACACAGGAGUGGGUGCUGCAGUUGAAUAUGCUGUUUUGCAUCUCAAGGUGGAAAACAUUGUUGUGAUUGGUCACAGUGCUUGUGGUGGAAUUAAGGGGCUGAUGUCUUUCCCAUUUGAUGGGAACAAAUCUACUGAUUUCAUAGAAGAUUGGGUCAGUAUCGGUUUACCUGCCAAGGCCAAGGUGUUAGCUGAACAUGGUAAUGCAACCUUCCCAGAACAAUGCACACAUUGCGAAAAGGAAGCUGUCAAUGUAUCACUUGGAAACUUGCUGACUUACCCAUUUGUGAGACAUGGAUUGGUGAAGAAAACACUGGCAUUGAAGGGAGGCUACUACGACUUCGUUUCAGGAAGUUUUGAGUUAUGGGGGCUUGAGUUUGGCCUUUCUCCUCCACUCUCUGUAUGAUCAUCAUCAUCAUCAUUGUCAAUCCAUUAACCAUUUCUGAUGAAUUAUUCCCCCAAGAAAUGUUCAAUAUGUAAAAGAUGUGGCCACCAUACUACAUUGGAAGCUCUAGAGGGUCAUGAAUAUUUCUGCUAAGAAGAGGAGACUCUUUCCCUUUUGUUUCUUCAAUUGGGUUAUCUUGAUUUAAUAACAUCAACAACUACUUUCCUUAA
This is an RNA transcript of Jatropha curcas, 1207 nucleotides long. It is a transcript of the gene named carbonic anhydrase, chloroplastic, with no coding region annotated. The record is from RefSeq and is a predicted model, not a curated record. NCBI's taxonomy places the organism in Eukaryota, Viridiplantae, Streptophyta, Magnoliopsida, Malpighiales, Euphorbiaceae.